This 497-nucleotide ribosomal RNA is filed under the name uncultured bacterium. RNAcentral's name for it is "partial 16S ribosomal RNA". It matches the Rfam family "Bacterial small subunit ribosomal RNA", at positions 29 to 507 of the family's 1533-position model. The record is from RNAcentral.
AAUGAACGCUGGCGGCGUGCCUAAUACAUGCAAGUCGAGCGAACAGACGAGGAGCUUGCUCCUUUGACGUUAGCGGCGGACGGGUGAGUAACACGUGGGUAACCUACCUAUAAGACUGGGAUAACUUCGGGAAACCGGAGCUAAUACCGGAUAAUAUUUCGAACCGCAUGGUUCGAUAGUGAAAGAUGGCUUUGCUAUCACUUAUAGAUGGACCUGCGCCGUAUUAGCUAGUUGGUAAGGUAACGGCUUACCAAGGCAACGAUACGUAGCCGACCUGAGAGGGUGAUCGGCCACACUGGAACUGAGACACGGUCCAGACUCCUACGGGAGGCAGCAGUAGGGAAUCUUCCGCAAUGGGCGAAAGCCUGACGGAGCAACGCCGCGUGAGUGAUGAAGGUCUUCGGAUCGUAAAACUCUGUUAUUAGGGAAGAACAAACGUGUAAGUAACUGUGCACGUCUUGACGGUACCUAAUCAGAAAGCCACGGCUAACUACGUG